CAGAGACAGCAGGAAGAGGGGAGUGGAGGCAGCCCAUUCACCUGGGGAAAUGACUGGGUUGUCGAUGGACGGUGGCGGCAGCCCCAAGGGGGACGUGGACCCGUUCUACUAUGGCUGCGGAGAGAGACAGCUGCUGGGAGAGACCACCCAUCCCGCUCCUCUUGCCCUCUCUUUCCGGAGACUAUGAGACCGUUCGCAAUGGGGGCCUGAUCUUCGCUGGACUGGCCUUCAUCGUGGGGCUCCUCAUCCUCCUCAGCAGAAGAUUCCGCUGUGGGGGCAAUAAGAAGCGCAGGCAAAUCAAUGAAGAUGAGCCGUAACAGCAGCCUCGGCGGUGCCACCCACUGCACUGGGGCCAGCUGGGAAGCCAAGCAUGGCCCUGCCUCUGGCGCCUCCCCUUCUUCCCUGGGCUUUAGACCUUUGUCCCCGUCACUGCCAGCGCUUGGGCUGAAGGAAGCUCCAGACUCAAUGUGACCCCCAGGUGGCAUCGCCAACUCCUGCCUCGUGCCACCUCAUGCUUAUAAUAAAGCCGGCGUCAGAGACCGCUGCUUCCCUC
Molecule: long non-coding RNA, 553 nt
Filed under: Homo sapiens (human)
Lineage: Eukaryota; Metazoa; Chordata; Mammalia; Primates; Hominidae
Description: long non-coding RNA NONHSAT160796.1
Source: RNAcentral